UAGCCAGACUCCUACGGGAGGCAGCAGUGGGGAAUAUUGCACAAUGGGGGAAACCCUGAUGCAGCAACGCCGCGUGAGUGAAGAAGUCAUUCGUGAUGUAAAGCUCUAUCAGCAGGGAAGAAAAUGACGGUACCUGAGUAAGAAGCCCCGGCUAACUACGUGCCAGCAGCCGCGGUAAUACGUAGGGGGCAAGCGUUAUCCGGAUUUACUGGGUGUAAAGGGGGCGCAGACGGCGAUGCAAGCCAGGAGUGAAAGCCCGGGGCCCAACCCCGGGACUGCUCUUGGAACUGCGUGGCUGGAGUGCAGGAGGGGCAGGCGGAAUUCCUAGUGUAGCGGUGAAAUGCGUAGAUAUUAGGAGGAACACCAGUGGCGAAGGCGGCUUACUGGACUGUAACUGACGUUGAGGCUCGAAGGCGUGGGGAGCAAACAGGAUUAGAUACCCCAGUAGA
Molecule: ribosomal RNA, 449 nt
Filed under: uncultured bacterium
Lineage: Bacteria
Description: partial 16S ribosomal RNA
Rfam family: Bacterial small subunit ribosomal RNA
Source: RNAcentral